Molecule: long non-coding RNA, 2690 nt
Organism: Nycticebus coucang (slow loris)
Lineage: Eukaryota; Metazoa; Chordata; Mammalia; Primates; Lorisidae
Exons: 3
Source: RefSeq, a predicted model, not a curated record
AGGUCCAACAGCUACUCGCGGACAGCGCGCCUCGUUUUCCGCGCGGCAGCCGAGAGAGGACGGUUCGGAAAUAACUGCUAGCUAUGCGGGUGGGCGGGAAGAACUGCUACCUAUGCGGAUGGGAAAGCGGCUGAGCCUUCCAGUCGGUAGCUGGGCUCUUGGAGGGAGAUGGGUGUUUCCGGAUGUACAUCAGUCAACUGCGGGGAGACUGGAAAACAUGCUGGCAAUUCAAAAACGUUUAAAAAUGGUAAGGCAUCUGUGAGACGUGGUAUAUUCCUGGGUUUUUUUUUUUUUCUUCCCGAUUUGAAAUACAUUGUUUCAUUUGAAGUAAUUUUAAGAGUUAGCUGUCAACAGGAUGAAUGUAAUGGUUCUAUAAUCCGUGGAUUCCUUAAUUUUAAGCCCUAUGUGGUUUGAAUUGUUGCUAAGUGCUGGGAUUUCUAGAAAUUUACAAGCUAAGUGUUUGUUUGAUAAAAAUACAGGUAGUGCAUGAAAGUCUGAAACAUAAAUACAAAAGAACUCAACGACCCAUUUAAAAGCGGUAAUAUUGCCAAUGCUGUGUUACCUCCCACCCCCAUUCCCCUGCCCCCCAUCUAGUAGUACCUAUCUCUAGUUUUGUGUCCAUCGGUUUCUUGAUCCUGUGGCUGGGAGGUGAGAUGGAUAGUUUAUUAUUCAUAUGUAUCUUUAAACAUAGGCAUUAUAAGAAUGAGUAUGCAUGUAGUUGUCUGUAGUUCCUGUGAAUCAUAAUACUAAACUGAAAUUUUCCAAAUUAGAAUUAUUCACAAGCAGUAAUUUUAUUCCUCAUACUCAAGUGAAAUAUUUCAGCAUUUCAAGACAUGAAAAUAAUGAUAGUUUAGCAGGGUCCAAACUUGUAUGUCUUCAUAAAUCAUAUCAAUAAUUGUCUAGCUCAAUGAUUUAUACUCCUGAGGUGCUGUGUGACAUUUGUGUGGCCCUGGCCAUCUCCUUUGCCCUGUUUGUGUACAUUCAGUUAACUUAAACUUAAUUCUGUAGGAAUGUGUCUGGUAAUGCUGACAGUGUAAGGCAUCCCUUCUCCAAAACUACUAGAUUUGCCAUUGUACUGUUUUCAGGUGAAAAUCUUCACCCUAGUUUCUGUACAUCUAGCAUUUAACCUGACUUAGUGCAUUCUAGUCAAGCUCUAGGACAGAAAAGCAAUGGUUGUCUACUCAUUAGGACCAUUGUGUCUUAAAAUCAAUACUGUGAUGAUGAAGGAUAUAAAAUGUUUCCAUCAUUUAUGUAAUUUUUAGGUACUAACCAAUCAAAAGAUUUAAAACACUCAAGUCAUUAACAGAUGUUUUUAAAUUUCGCGUUUGUCAGUUAAUACUAUCAGAAGUAAUGAAACAGGAAUUGUGUUCUUUUAUUCCAUUAGAAAUGUAUUGAACAAGAGAUACUGGUACUUUUAUUAAAAAGUGGGUUGGAGUCCCAAAAGGUAGGUUGGGUUCCUUAGAGGAAUGACAUUUUGUUGUUGUUGAGACAGGGUCCCACCCUAUGCCCCUGAGCAGAGUGCAGUGGGCGUGGUAGCUCACCACAGCCUCAGACUCAGGCUGCAGGCACCCCUCUGCCUCAGCCUCCGGAUGCCGCUGGGAAUACAUGUGCUCAAGGCAGCACCCGGCUGGGUUUUUCCAUUUUUUUCAUGAAUCGGGGUCUCACUGUCGCUCAGGCAAGUCUCUAACUCCUGAGCUCAAGCAAUUGAUUCUCCCUCCUCAGCCUCCCACAGUGCUGGGAUUACAGGCAUGAGCCACUGCGCCCGGCAGGAAUGAAAUUUUUAUUAGACUAUUCCUUCAUAUAACAUGCCAAACAAAUGCAAUUACAAAUGGGAAUUGACAGUGAAAAUUUAAUUUUUAGGUCUGACAAAUCCUAUGAAUUUUGAAGGUGUGUGAAGGUCAUUGUGACAGAUGUUUUCCAAAAGCUUAACAGAAAAUGGCAAUGAAAAAGUAGAACCGCCACUGCAUAUAUUGAGGUACAAAAAGUGUUAAAUGACAUCUUUUUGGGAAUCGUGGUGCUAUUGUUACUAACAAGCAAUACACAAAAUGUUUGAUGUGUUAUUGACGUUGAUAAUGGUGGCAUAAUGAUGACUUAAAUUUUUGCCGUUUACCCAGCUGAGGAUAUCUUUGAAGAAAUAAUUCUUAGACUGAGAUGCCAGUAAACUAUAUUGGUUUAUGUUAAUGGUAUGUAGUACAAUUUUUUACUAAGAGGCUAAAUGUUCUUUCUCCUUAGCACAUAGGUAGCUGCAGAUGGAUGUCCUUUAGCUGCAGUUUUUUGAAAUACUCCUUUGUUGCCUCAGAGGUGUGCCAUGCAACAUUAUGGAAGAAAGAACGAAGACUGCAAGAAAACAGAUGAACAGAACAAAUGAUGAAAAUGAAUAUUUUACUUGGUUUUACUAACUUCAUUAUAAAUGAUAUAGAAAAUAAAUGUGAGUAAUUAUUUUAAUUGCUGGGCACUAAAGUCUCUUUUCUUUUAAAAUAGCUGUAUUCUUUUUUUUUUUGAGACAGAGCCUCAAGCUGUCACCCUGGAUAGAGUGCCAUGGCAUCACACAGCUCACAGCAACCUCCAACUCUUGGGCUCAAGAGAGGCUCCUGCCUCCCCCUCCCAAGGAGCUGGGACUACAGGCGCCCGCCACAACGCCCGGAUAUUUUUUGGUUGCAGCUGUCGUUGUUUGGCGGGCCAGGGCUGGA